RNAcentral lists this ribosomal RNA (449 nucleotides) under uncultured organism. RNAcentral describes it as "partial 16S ribosomal RNA". It matches the Rfam family "Bacterial small subunit ribosomal RNA", at positions 334 to 799 of the family's 1533-position model. The record is from RNAcentral.
CACUCCUACGGGAGGCAGCAGUGGGGAAUCUUGCGCAAUGGGCGAAAGCCUGACGCAGCCAUGCCGCGUGAAUGAUGAAGGUCUUAGGAUUGUAAAAUUCUUUCACCGGGGACGAUAAUGACGGUACCCGGAGAAGAAGCCCCGGCUAACUUCGUGCCAGCAGCCGCGGUAAUACGAAGGGGGCUAGCGUUGCUCGGAAUUACUGGGCGUAAAGGGAGCGUAGGCGGACAUUUAAGUCAGGGGUGAAAUCCCGGGGCUCAACCUCGGAAUUGCCUUUGAUACUGGGUGUCUUGAGUAUGAGAGAGGUGUGUGGAACUCCGAGUGUAGAGGUGAAAUUCGUAGAUAUUCGGAAGAACACCAGUGGCGAAGGCGACACACUGGCUCAUUACUGACGCUGAGGCUCGAAAGCGUGGGGAGCAAACAGGAUUAGAAACCCCAGUAGUCCCAUG